Long non-coding RNA from Lolium perenne, 800 nucleotides. RefSeq lists it as uncharacterized. The record is from RefSeq and is a predicted model, not a curated record. NCBI's taxonomy places the organism in Eukaryota, Viridiplantae, Streptophyta, Magnoliopsida, Poales, Poaceae.
UGUCGUCCUUUCUUUCCACUCUUCAUUUUCCUCCCGCACCUAUCACACCAUCUCCCGAUCUAGAAAGACCACCGUGAUUCCCACCGACCGCCGCCGACGGCCGUCCCGUCCUCCGCCGCAGGCACCUCAACCACCGUCGUUUUUUUACCCCAGCCUACCGGUGUCGCCUGCUUCUCUCUACAAAUCCAUCCCUUUCCAUGCCCGACCUCCCAGAUUCCCCACCACCGAUGGAUCCCAGCAGGCGCUCUCCAGCUCGUUCGGUGGCACACGAUUUGGAGUAGAUCCAUCCCCUGGGCGCCUUGCUCGCUGACGGGAAGAUGAUCUGCCGUCCCGAGCGUCGAGGGCCUCCAGCAGGUGGCGUCGGGAGGCAGGAGAAGCCGUGGUGGAGGAACGCACGAGGGCGUGUUAAUUGGAGUUGCUGGUAAAGCACGGAAAGUGUGAUCAUGGGGAGGAUAUUUUUUCUCCUUGUCUUCUUACUGAUAUUUUGGUAGCGGCCAUGAUCCAACGCCAGUCAGCAUUUUGGAAUCAUCAUUUGGCAUCGUUAAUGUUGGUUUAUGUUUGGCGCCUAACUGGAGGGCUACCGGAGUUCGUGCAGGGCAUGGCGUCGCCACAGGACCCGUAGCCAACAACCCGCUCAGAGGGAGCGUAAUGCGCUCCAGCUUGUUUUCAGGUUUCUCUCGAUCAUGUAAUUGCGUUGGAUGCUAGAACAAAUUUGUCUUAUCAUAUAUUUUCAUUGGAUAUUAGAGCAAAUUGUAAAGAACCGUCCCCAGAUUUGUUAUUGCAAAUCACCGUUUCUUUCA